Molecule: unclassified non-coding RNA, 202 nt
Filed under: plant metagenome
Description: partial contains small subunit ribosomal RNA, internal transcribed spacer 1, and 5.8S ribosomal RNA
Source: RNAcentral
UCUCCGUUGGUGAACCAGCGGAGGGAUCAUUAUCGAGUUAUACAACUCCCAAACCCUAUGUGAACUUACCACUUGUUGCUUCGGCGCGCGCUUCGGCGCCGCCGAGGACACUUAAACUCUUUGUUUUUAUAAGCAUUUCUGAGUGGCCGAAAGGCAAAAUACAAAUGAAUCAAAACUUUCAACAACGGAUCUCUUGGUUCUG